UGCAAGUCGAGCGGGGAAGGUAGCUUGCUACUGGACCUAGCGGCGGACGGGUGAGUAAUGCUUAGGAAUCUGCCUAUUAGUGGGGGACAACAUUCCGAAAGGAAUGCUAAUACCGCAUACGCCCUACGGGGGAAAGCAGGGGAUCUUCGGACCUUGCGCUAAUAGAUGAGCCUAAGUCGGAUUAGCUAGUUGGUGGGGUAAAGGCCUACCAAGGCGACGAUCUGUAGCGGGUCUGAGAGGAUGAUCCGCCACACUGGGACUGAGACACGGCCCAGACUCCUACGGGAGGCAGCAGUGGGGAAUAUUGGACAAUGGGCGGAAGCCUGAUCCAGCCAUGCCGCGUGUGUGAAGAAGGCCUUUUGGUUGUAAAGCACUUUAAGCGAGGAGGAGGCUCCUUUAGUUAAUACCUAAAGUGAGUGGACGUUACUCGCAGAAUAAGCACCGGCUAACUCUGUGCCAGCAGCCGCGGUAAUACAGAGGGUGCGAGCGUUAAUCGGAUUUACUGGGCGUAAAGCGUGCGUAGGCGGCUUUUUAAGUCGGAUGUGAAAUCCCUGAGCUUAACUUAGGAAUUGCAUUCGAUACUGGAAAGCUAGAGUAUGGGAGAGGAUGGUAGAAUUCCAGGUGUAGCGGUGAAAUGCGUAGAGAUCUGGAGGAAUACCGAUGGCGAAGGCAGCCAUCUGGCCUAAUACUGACGCUGAGGUACGAAAGCAUGGGGAGCAAACAGGAUUAGAUACCCUGUAGUCCAUGCCGCAAACGAUGUCUACUAGCCGUUGGGGCCUUUGAGCUUUAGUGCGCAGCUACGCGAUAAGUAGACCGCCUGGGGAGUACGGUCGCAGACUA
RNAcentral lists this ribosomal RNA (840 nucleotides) under uncultured bacterium. Its description in RNAcentral is "bacterial SSU rRNA". It matches the Rfam family "Bacterial small subunit ribosomal RNA", at positions 56 to 896 of the family's 1533-position model. The record is from RNAcentral.